UACGAAGGGGGCGAGCGUUGUUCGGAUUUACUGGGCGUAAAGGGCGCGUAGGCGGCGUGGGAAGUCAGGCGUGAAAGCCCCGGGCUCAACCUGGGAACUGCGCUUGGGACUCUCAGGCUGGAGUUCGGGAGAGGAGCGUGGAAUUCCCAGUGUAGAGGUGAAAUUCGUAGAUAUUGGGAAGAACACCGGUGGCGAAGGCGGCGCUCUGGACCGAGACUGACGCUGAGGCGCGAAAGCGUGGGGAGCAAACAGG
This 253-nucleotide ribosomal RNA is filed under the name uncultured bacterium. RNAcentral describes it as "partial 16S ribosomal RNA". It matches the Rfam family "Bacterial small subunit ribosomal RNA", at positions 524 to 776 of the family's 1533-position model. The record is from RNAcentral.